GUGGGGAAUAUUGGGCAAUGGGCGAAAGCCUGACCCAGCAACGCCGCGUGAAGGAAGAAGGUUUUCGGAUCGUAAACUUCUAUCCUUGGUGAAGAUAAUGACGGUAGCCAAGAAGGAAGCCCCGGCUAACUACGUGCCAGCAGCCGCGGUAAUACGUAGGGGGCAAGCGUUGUCCGGAAUGAUUGGGCGUAAAGGGCGCGUAGGCGGCCCGGUAAGUCUGAAGUGAAAGUCCUGCUUUUAAGGUGGGAAUUGCUUUGGAUACUGUCGGGCUUGAGUGCAGGAGAGGUAAGCGGAAUUCCCGGUGUAGCGGUGAAAUGCGUAGAGAUCGGGAGGAACACCAGUGGCGAAGGCGGCUUUCUGGACUGACCCUGACGCUGAGGUGCGAAAGCGUGGGUAGCAAACAGGAUUAGAUACCCCGGUAGUCC
This 425-nucleotide ribosomal RNA is filed under the name uncultured bacterium. Its description in RNAcentral is "partial 16S ribosomal RNA". It matches the Rfam family "Bacterial small subunit ribosomal RNA", at positions 354 to 796 of the family's 1533-position model. The record is from RNAcentral.